CGGAGGAAAAGAAACUAACAAGGAUUCCCNAGUAACUGCGAGUGAAGCGGGAAAAGCUCAAAUUUAAAAUCUGGCGGUCUUUGGCCGUCCGAGUUGUAGUCUGGAGAAGUGCUUUCCGCGCCGGACCGUGUACAAGUCUCUUGGAACAGAGCGUCAUAGAGGGUGAGAAUCCCGUCUUUGACACGGACUACCGGUGCUUUGUGAUGCGCUCUCAAAGAGUCGAGUUGUUUGGGAAUGCAGCUCAAAAUGGGUGGUGAAUUCCAUCUAAAGCUAAAUAUUGGCGAGAGACCGAUAGCGAACAAGUACCGUGAGGGAAAGAUGAAAAGCACUUUGGAAAGAGAGUUAAACAGUACGUGAAAUUGCUGAAAGGGAAACGCUUGAAGUCAGUCGCGUCUUCUGGAACUCAGCCUUGCUUCCGCUUGGUGUAUUUUCCUGUGGACGGGCCAGCAUCGAUUUUGACCGUCGGAAAAGGGUUGGAGGAAUGUGGCACCUUCGGGUGUGUUAUAGCCUCCGGUCGCAUACGUCGGUUGGGAUCGAGGAUCGCAGCGCGCCUUUAUGGUCGGGGUUCGCCCACGUCCCGCGCUUAGGAUGCUGGCGUAAUGGCUUUAAGCGACCCGUCUUGAAACACGGACCAAGGAGUCUAACAUGCCCGCGAGUGUUUGGGUGGAAAACCCGAGCGCGUAAUGAAAGUGAAAGUUGAGACCUCUGUCGUGGAGGGCAUCGACGCCCGGCGCUGACGUUUACUGAAGCUGCCGCGGUUGAGCGUGUAUGUUGGGACCCGAAAGAUGGUGAACUAUGCCUGAAUAGGGUGAAGCCAGAGGAAACUCUGGUGGAGGCUCGUAGCGAUUCUGACGUGCAAAUCGAUCGUCAAAUUUGGGUAUAGGGGCGAAAG
This 892-nucleotide ribosomal RNA is filed under the name Lopharia erubescens. RNAcentral describes it as "Lopharia sp. VXL-2019a partial large subunit ribosomal RNA". It matches the Rfam family "Eukaryotic large subunit ribosomal RNA", at positions 51 to 929 of the family's 3401-position model. Lineage: Eukaryota; Fungi; Basidiomycota; Agaricomycetes; Polyporales; Polyporaceae. The record is from RNAcentral.